UUAUUGAUCCAAUAAGGGCGGAAGUUCCUGCUGUAAUGGCAACGCAAACCGGCUUUUUCUCUCUUUUUUGUGCUUGAAUACUGAGGCUUGCACUUCACUACAGGCUUUACAGCUUAUAAUGUCUGGACCGGGCUGCCAUCUAGCGUACAGUAGCUAGACAAUUACAAGAAAAUAGGAGGGAAUCAUUUAUUGUUAGCGGGUAUUUUGCAUAUCGUUACUUAGGAUUUUUUAUGUUUUGUGAGAUUUGCUUGUUUUAUGUAAUUAAAAAAAAAAUUAUUGAUUGAAUGUCGGGAAACUCAUUUCAAUGCGAAUGAUUGAUGUGCGAAGUUAUUCAGAACAUUUAUCACAACUUUGAUUAUUAGAUCCGAAGCAGUCUUUUUAAAAUUAUUAGUUUUUGUGAAAAUACCGAUAUUUACAGAAUAUUAGAUAGAAGACGUUAGAUGAACACAAAUACUGACAAAUUACAGAGAAACAUUUAGGAAGUUAGACGUCAGGGAGGAUGAGAACACCGCGAAGCGGCUGCGUUGUUUGGUGAAAGAGUGUUUGCGCCGGGUUUAGUUUGCCCUCGUCCCUUCUCUAAGCGCUCCGCAAACGCACCGCUCUGCCCUCUGUGCUCUGGAAAAAAGGUGAAACGAACGGGAUUAAAUCAGACAAAGGGCAAACUUCUGUAAGUGUAUCAUCAAGAUUUUACUCCACAGACAGGGAAGAGAGCGAGGGAGAGGCGAGAGAGAGGGAGAGGCGCAGCGAAUGGGAACGCAAGUCGCAGGCAGCAGGGCAGCAGCGCGAGAGGAGAGGAGCAGAGGGAGAAGUGCACACCGCUGCAGUGACACGCCGCUCCAGUGCUGCGCCGCCGUUUCCUGGAAUUCCGCUCUUAUCGCACAGGUUUGGCUAACAGUGAAACUCGAGCAGCUGCAGACCUAUGCUUCGUCUUGUCAGGUAGGAAUGUCUUGAUGUUCUUAACCACGGAAUCUCUACGGAUUGUGAGGGGCAGUUGAGAAUGUCAGUUUUCCAUCUUUGUCCAUCUUGUCAGUAUUUGAGAGAAAUCGUCCCUCGUCAUUACUGCCAUGCUGAAAUGUCAUUUUUUGACAAAGCGACUGACUAAGUGUGGGCUUUUGGACACACUUUCUGUCAUUCUUCGCAUCUGGCAGGCAGAUGAUGGAAUUUGUUCAUGAAAGCAUGUGUGUCCACCCAUACGUUCUGUUCCUGCCUCUCAUUUCAGCAUGUUCUGCGGCACAGAUAUGGAAAGCCGUGGUCACAUGGCUUAAUGACAGCUCUCUUAGUUGCUGUCUGUUUGCUAUGAAAAUACUCUGACCUCUUUGACACAAUCAAUAACUAUAAUUGUGUUGUUUAUAACUGUAACAUGAACUCAAAAUUUCAUGCUAAGACAUAUAUUAAAUAUGUUUGAGUAGGAACGAGUGUAAAUAUUGUCUGUGAGUCACUGCUGUGUAAAAGCUCUACUUGUGCUUUCUAAAUGAUCUGUUUUAUCUGUCUGCCAUCUCUGACAUUCUUCCAGCAGUAUAUAUCCUGAGGUCAUAAAGUUGGGGCUCAAAGUGGAUCGUUAAUGUUAAUGUAAAAAUGGCAGACGUAUGUAAGCGCUCACAUACAAUCACAAAAAGUCCAAACUAUGGAACCUUUAAGUCCUUUCCUCCGAGGGAACCACGAACGUGAAACUCUUUUUGGAGCAGUUUGCAACUCUUUCCCUAUCUAUCAUAACUGAACCCUUUUGCAAGCCGAGAACCCAUGAAGAACCAUAUUAAGAACCAGAACAGGCAGACGCUCUGAAAAACAAACACAGGAAGUGCUUUGCCUAUAUCUCUGUUUAUGCUCUGUCCUUCUCUCACACUGUACAAUGCGUGUGUCCUCUUUCACCUCUUUCUAUCAGCUCUAUCAGAUCUGAGGAGGAAAGAAUGCAGCCGUCAUUCCUAAACACACACAUUCCUCUAGGCUAGCUUUAUAAUAUUCCUGGCUGAAACAAAGGUUUAAUUUCAUGUGAAAUAAUCAUUUUUUAAUAACCAAUUUUUAUUCUCGGUUGUUUUCUUCCCAGGGUUCCUGUGUAAUAAGAACUGUUUUGUAUAUCAAGUUGAAUACCUGUUUAGAGACUUAAACUUUAUAAACAGCUAUAUUGUAAAUACUGAGCAUGUAUGUAUAUAAUGUUACAGAUUGAUUGGAGCAGCAAAUGGAGAUAAAUGAAUAUGUGGAAAGUACACAAGUGUAUGCUUACAUCAGGUCUCUUGUAAAACACCAGGGGAAGGUCAAUUCUUUUGUGCUGGUUUUGAGAUUUUCUUUCUCAUUGUGAUCGUGUGUACAUUUUACACCAGAAAUGUUUUUCUUGAUAGUUUGUAUUAAUGUAUGCUUAUGUAGAAAUUUGUAUACAUAGUAACUGUAAAUGUAGUAAUGAUAAACUCUGUUUUUUUAUUCUAAAUAAAAUACAAAGGCAAAAGAAAAAAGUGACAAAACAUAAAGGAAGAGGAAAAGAUGAAAGAAAUAACAAAAAGCAUUUGCAAAAAAAAAAAAGAAAAAGAGGGAAAAAAAAAGUAAGUAAGAAUAAAGAUGAAUUAAUUCAGCCACAUCUUUUAUUAUCCUAAUCAUGACUGCACAGUAUGUGGCUGCUAAAUAUCUCCUCAUAUUACAAAAUGAUAAUUGGCUUACUUAAUGUUCACUGUUAUCGUUUGAUGCUAAUGCCAAUUCUGACAGAGCACAGAGAAGGAGCAUGGUACCACUUGGUCCCGCGUUGUGUCCUGCGUUUUUUCCUUCUAGGUAUUUGCGACUCGCUCGUGCCAGCCAGAACAAAAGCUUUGCCUCUUCAUCUAUCAGAGCACGGUUAAAGGUAAGUGGCACCCCCUAUUAGGAUGACAAGGAAAUUAAUGGUACAGUCUGUCCCCUGGUUCUUUAUUACUUAUUUAUAGGUUAACACCCUUUCCUUGCUUUGGGCAUGUCUGUUACAAUUUUAUGAGAACCCAGGUGAACAUCACAUACACCUGAGAUAAUACUGGCAUGAAAGCAGACACACAGUGUAUUGCUCAUUUAAAAAAAAAAAAAAAAAAAGAUGUUGUCAUGGAGCCUUUAAUGUAUUUGUACAGGACACUACUGGAGGAAACAUCAUGUAUUUGAAUAAAAUAAACUGACCAUAAGCACCUACAACUCGUCGUUUCAUUUUUCCCCCCCCAUUUCUGGAGUCUUCCUUUUGUCUGGUAUCUCAUGGUUUAUCGAGGGCAUUAUUGUGUACAGCUCUCAAAGGACCAAGAUGCUUCCCUUUGUGGAUCACGUGGCCCGAUCAUGUGUGUAGUUAUGAAUUUCUUAUUGGCUGGCAACAAUGUGGCAUGUAUUACUGGAUUUUUUAUGGGUUGGGGUGGGGUGUCUAUGGGCAUAACCUUUGUAUAGGAGCAUAGCUAAGCUUUUAACCAUUUGUGGUGAUGAGGGGACCACAGCCCUAAUUUUGUGGGUGAUGACACCUGCCCUUUUCAGCAGGCUGCAGGAGAAGCCAUGGGAAUGCUCGCACGCAACAGAGGGUCUGAAUAUUGGAACAAUGUGCGUGAAUGUGCUGCCACAUGAACAAUGCAACACCACAUGGUGAGGUGAUGGUGGGUGGAAAAGAGAUCGCUGUUUUCAAUGCCCACCCCCACUGUGAUUCCCCUCUCUCUUUCUCCUUCUCCUCCUGUAUUCCCCUCCUCUUUAGUGGACCUUCCUAUAAAUCUUUUCUGUCAUACCUGUUUUUGGUACAGUGUGAAUAAGUAAACAGCAAAUCCCAAUGUCCUGCCUUUAUGGGGACACAGCCCGGUAGACACAAGGCUUACUGGAUACAGGAUUAUGGCCUGUAUCAUGCAGUAGCUGUAUUUAUAAUCUGUCUUUCAUCCCUCUGUGUUCACACACAGGACUAUGGGGUUGCAGCUGUGUGGCAGCUGCCUUUACUGUGUGUCUAGCCUUGUAUGGAUCUUGCCUUGUAAGUCUGUGUAUGUGUGUUGUGCCAGAGUGUGUUGUGCGAGCCCUGUCCCUUGGGGCUUUCUCCCUGAGCCCAGACUCUCUGAUUCGGUGUGUAAAAGCGCCUCUGAAUGAUGGAUUACAGUGUCACCGCAGCCUGCGAAGGAUUAAUUUGUUUCAUUGAUUUCUCUUUAGGCAGAAAGCCAGCGUUUGCCGCUUCCCACCUCCUUCCCAGAGACUCCCAGUCGUAAUAGACGGUAAUGGCCUAAGACAAAUCAACCCGUUUCUUGUAAAAAUAGCAGCAAAUAACCUCUGACUUCAUGUCAUGAGAAGAAGCAGAGAGGUGCUAGGUUCUGAAGGCCUCACAAUGGGCAUGGACCCUCACAAGGAGGCAUGGGCCGUAUCUGAUCGAAGCCGUGAGUCUGGAAUACUUAUGGUUUUCGACUCUAGAUGGAUUGGUAAUGAUCAUCUGUCUGGGUUCUCGGGUUAAUCCUGGUUUUCCAUCUCGUGAUGACUCAAGC
Molecule: long non-coding RNA, 4439 nt
Organism: Clarias gariepinus (North African catfish)
Lineage: Eukaryota; Metazoa; Chordata; Actinopteri; Siluriformes; Clariidae
Exons: 3
Source: RefSeq, a predicted model, not a curated record